UCCCUGGUCGUCUAGUGGGUUAAGGACCUGGCAUUGUCACUGCUGUGGUAUAGGUUCGAUCCCUGGCCUGGGAA
This 74-nucleotide transfer RNA is filed under the name Sus scrofa (pig). It matches the Rfam family "tRNA". Rfam says of the family: Transfer RNA (tRNA) molecules are approximately 80 nucleotides in length. The record is from Rfam by way of RNAcentral. Lineage: Eukaryota; Metazoa; Chordata; Mammalia; Artiodactyla; Suidae.